This 253-nucleotide ribosomal RNA is filed under the name uncultured bacterium. RNAcentral's name for it is "partial 16S ribosomal RNA". It matches the Rfam family "Bacterial small subunit ribosomal RNA", at positions 524 to 776 of the family's 1533-position model. The record is from RNAcentral.
UACGAAGGGAGCUAGCGUUGUUCGGAAUCACUGGGCGUAAAGCGCACGUAGGCGGACGUGUCAGUCAGGGGUGAAAUCCCGGAGCUCAACUUCGGAACUGCCUUUGAUACAGCACGUCUUGAGUCCGGAAGAGGUGGGUGGAACUGCGAGUGUAGAGGUGAAAUUCGUAGAUAUUCGCAAGAACACCAGUGGCGAAGGCGGCUCACUGGCCCGGUACUGACGCUGAGGUGCGAAAGCGUGGGGAGCAAACAGG